This 468-nucleotide ribosomal RNA is filed under the name uncultured bacterium. RNAcentral's name for it is "partial 16S ribosomal RNA". It matches the Rfam family "Bacterial small subunit ribosomal RNA", at positions 28 to 507 of the family's 1533-position model. The record is from RNAcentral.
GACGAACGCUGGCGGCGUGCUUAACACAUGCAAGUCGAACGGAAAGGCCCUGCUUUUGUGGGGUGCUCGAGUGGCGAACGGGUGAGUAACACGUGAGUAACCUGCCCUUGACUUUGGGAUAACUUCAGGAAACUGGGGCUAAUACCGGAUAGGAGCUCCUGCUGCAUGGUGGGGGUUGGAAAGUUUCGGCGGUUGGGGAUGGACUCGCGGCUUAUCAGCUUGUUGGUGGGGUAGUGGCUUACCAAGGCUUUGACGGGUAGCCGGCCUGAGAGGGUGACCGGCAACAUGGGGAUUGGGAACCGGCCCAGACCCAGGCGGGGGGAAGCAGGGGGAAAUAUUGAACAAGGGGCGGAGGCCUGAUGCAGCAACGCCGGGGGGGGGAGGACGGCCUGCGGUUUUUAACCCUCUUGCGCCUGGGACGAAGGGGGAGGGAGGGUAGGGGGUAAAGAAGCACGGGCAAACUAGGUC